This 698-nucleotide ribosomal RNA is filed under the name uncultured archaeon. Its description in RNAcentral is "bacterial SSU rRNA". It matches the Rfam family "Archaeal small subunit ribosomal RNA", at positions 102 to 800 of the family's 1478-position model. The record is from RNAcentral.
GGAUAACCUACCCUUAGGACUGGGAUAACCCUGGGAAACUGGGGAUAAUACUAGAUAGGCAAUUUUUCCUGGAAUGGUUUUUUGUUUAAAUGUUUUUUCGCCUAAGGAUGGGUCUGCGGCCGAUUAGGUAGUUGGUUAGGUAACGGCUUACCAAGCCAUUGAUCGGUACGGGUUGUGAGAGCAAGAGCCCGGAGAUGGAACCUGAGACAAGGUUCCAGGCCCUACGGGGUGCAGCAGGCGCGAAACCUCCGCAAUGUGAGAAAUCGCGACGGGGGGAUCCCAAGUGCCAUUCUUAACGGGAUGGCUUUUCAUUAGUGUAAAGAGCUUUUGGAAUAAGGGCUGGGCAAGACCGGUGCCAGCCGCCGCGGUAACACCGGCAGCUCUAGUGGUAGCAGUUUUUAUUGGGCCUAAAGCGUCCGUAGCCGGUUUAAUAAGUCUCUGGUGAAAUCCUGUAGCUUAACUGUGGGAAUUGCUGGAGAUACUAUUAGACUUGAGACCGGGAGAGGUUAGAGGUACUCCCAGGGUAGAGGUGAAAUUCUGUAAUCCUGGGAGGACCGCCUGUUGCGAAGGCGUCUAACUGGAACGGUUCUGACGGUGAGGGACGAAAGUUAGGGGCGCGAACCGGAUUAGAUACCCGGGUAGUCCUAACUGUAAACGAUGCGGACUUGGUGUUGGGGUGGCUUUGAGCUGCUCCAGUG